CUAAAGUGGGGUUUGUCAGAGCUGGGCAGCUGUGCCUGGUGCAGGGCAGCGGGGCAGGGCUCAGGAGCAUGGACGGGCUGGUGGAACUGCUCCAAGAUGUGCCAGCCACUGCCCGGUGCAGAACCACUCUGACACCAUCAUGAAAAAGGUGCCAUGAGAUCUGUGAGUUAACCGUGAUCCCACAGCUGGUGAAAGAAAGGUACUUUUUGAUGACAGUGCAUCACUGCUAUUUUGAAUCAGCCUGAGUUUGGUGCACUGUGAAGAAUUUUGCUCACAGUGAUUCAGCUGCA
This 290-nucleotide long non-coding RNA is filed under the name Cyanistes caeruleus (blue tit). RNAcentral's name for it is "lncRNA (ENSCCEG00000006916.1)". Lineage: Eukaryota; Metazoa; Chordata; Aves; Passeriformes; Paridae. The record is from RNAcentral.